Ochotona curzoniae (black-lipped pika) is the source of this 995-nucleotide long non-coding RNA. RefSeq lists it as uncharacterized. The record is from RefSeq and is a predicted model, not a curated record. The transcript is spliced from 2 exons. NCBI's taxonomy places the organism in Eukaryota, Metazoa, Chordata, Mammalia, Lagomorpha, Ochotonidae.
UUCGGUUGCGCCCGGUUGCGGGUUGUCCUCUCGCGGAUGUCGGUCGGCACCGUUCCCGAGUUUCUCUAGGAAAUUUCGGCGUGAGGGGGCCUGGCCCCGCUGCGUGCGUGCCCGUGGGGUCCCCGGGCCAGGCAGCCAGGCAGGCAGGCGCUCGCGGACCGUUUUGGCUAUGGGCUUUGGGAGUGUUUUUGGUGGUAAUUCCGCGGUUGAACGUUCCGUCGAGGCGCCGGCCGUUGAUCGUCUCGCGUCCACCCAGACUUUUGGGGGUCGAGGGAAAUCCUCUGCUUUGUUCUCUGUAACCCAAGGACUUCUCACCAUAUCUACGGCUUUCUGCCUGGAGCUAGUCACCGUCACUGCCACUGCUUAGCCCGGAUUGCUGCAAGCAACAGCUCUCACCACUGUCCUUCGGCCACCUGUUUUCAACACUGCCUUUGGAAAGUUUGGCUUCUGUAAAAUGCAUAUUAAGACACAAGCCAGACUGUGAGAGUCAGAUGGGUUAAUAGGCAGUUAGGUAAGGUCCCUGUGAAAAUGGAAAAAGGGGACAAGGUCCCUUCAGAAGUCAGAGAAAACUGUUUGCCCCUCCUAGGCGUGGCCUGUAAUAGCACUUAGUUUGAUCCUAGGAAGACCCAGUGUUUGCUAAAGAUAGCCCAGAAAGGCUUCCCUGACCCUGGCAAUAAGCCAUGAGACUCACUACUUGCUGAUUGGUCAAUAAUUCCUAUCCUUGGUUCCCUGAGUGGUUACUAACCCCUGCCUGCAUAGGCCAAUUAGAGAUGCAUCUUUCCAUGAUCUUUGGCCCCUAAUUGGAUAUAGCUUUAUCCCUUUGAACUAGCCCGUCAAAAGCAGCACACCCUUUGGGGUGUCAUUUUGUGUGAUCCCAAGAGCCUGCACUUGCCAACUGUGAGGGCAGCUCUCCCCUUGGAAUGCCCCCCACACUCCAGGUCCCACCCUACUGCUGCAACAGAGAGUCCUGUCAAUAAAACUUCUGCUUUGCUCAC